This 253-nucleotide ribosomal RNA is filed under the name uncultured bacterium. Its description in RNAcentral is "partial 16S ribosomal RNA". It matches the Rfam family "Bacterial small subunit ribosomal RNA", at positions 524 to 776 of the family's 1533-position model. The record is from RNAcentral.
UACGAAGGGGGCUAGCGUUGCUCGGAAUCACUGGGCGUAAAGGGUGCGUAGGCGGGUCUUUAAGUCAGGGGUGAAAUCCUGGAGCUCAACUCCAGAACUGCCUUUGAUACUGAGGAUCUUGAGUCCGGGAGAGGUGAGUGGAACUGCGAGUGUAGAGGUGAAAUUCGUAGAUAUUCGCAAGAACACCAGUGGCGAAGGCGGCUCACUGGUCCGGUACUGACGCUGAGGCACGAAAGCGUGGGGAGCAAACAGG